This 301-nucleotide ribosomal RNA is filed under the name uncultured bacterium. Its description in RNAcentral is "partial 16S ribosomal RNA". It matches the Rfam family "Bacterial small subunit ribosomal RNA", at positions 509 to 809 of the family's 1533-position model. The record is from RNAcentral.
CAGCCGCCGCGGUAACACGAAGGGUGCAAGCGUUACUCGGAAUUACUGGGCGUAAAGCGUGCGUAGGUGGUGGUUUAAGUCCGUUGUGAAAGCCCUGGGCUCAACCUGGGAAUUGCAUUGGAUACUGGCAAGCUAGAGUGUGUCAGAGGAUGGUGGAAUUCCCGGUGUAGCGGUGAAAUGCGUAGAGAUCGGGAGGAACAUCAGUGGCGAAGGCGGCCAUCUGGGACAACACUGACGCUGAGGCACGAAAGCGUGGGGAGCAAACAGGAUUAGAUACCCCCGUAGUCCCUGUCUCUUAUCC